RNAcentral lists this ribosomal RNA (459 nucleotides) under uncultured bacterium. Its description in RNAcentral is "bacterial SSU rRNA". It matches the Rfam family "Bacterial small subunit ribosomal RNA", at positions 29 to 524 of the family's 1533-position model. The record is from RNAcentral.
AGUGAACGUUGGCGGCGUGGAUUAGGCAUGCAAGUCGAGCGAUCGUAGCAAUACGGGAGCGGCAAACGGGGUAGGAAUACAUCGGAACGUACCUUUUGGUUGAGAAUAGCGUUGGGAAACUGACGGUAAUACUCAAUAAAGUCGAGAGACCAAAGGUUUACUGCCGGAAGAGCGGCCGAUGCGAUAUUAGGUAGUUGGUGGGGUAAUGGCCUACCAAGCCUGAGAUGUCUAGGGGGUGUGCGAGCAUGGCCCCCACCACUGGGACUGAGAUACUGCCCAGACACCUACGGGUGGCUGCAGUCGAGGAUCUUCGUCAAUGGGCGAAAGCCUGAACGAGCGACGCCGCGUGCGGGAUGAAGGCCCUUGGGUUGUAAACCGCUGUCAGGGGGGAUGAAACCGUAAGGUUGACAGAGCCCCAGAGGAAGCACGGGCUAAGUUCGUGCCAGCAGCCGCGGUAAU